Molecule: ribosomal RNA, 459 nt
Filed under: uncultured bacterium
Lineage: Bacteria
Description: partial 16S ribosomal RNA
Rfam family: Bacterial small subunit ribosomal RNA
Source: RNAcentral
CCUACGGGUGGCAGCAGUGAGGAAUAUUGGUCAAUGGCCGAAAGGCUGAACCAGCCAAGCCGCGUGAAGGACGACGGUGCCAAGGAUUGUAAACAUCUUUUGUCAAGGGACAAAAUCAGGCACGAGAGCCGGACUGAGGGUAGUCGAAGAAAAAGCAUCGGCUAACUCCGUGCCAGCAGCCGCGGUAAUACGGAGGAAGCGAGCGUUAUCCGGAUUUAUUGGGUUUAAAGGGUGCGUAGGCGGGACGUUAAAUCAGCGGUAAAAUUCCGGGGCUCAACCCCGUCGAGCCGUUGAAACUGGCUGUCUUGAGUUGUCGAGAGGUAUGCGGAAUGCGCGGUGUAGCGGUGAAAUGCUUAGAUAUUGCGCAGAACUCCGAUUGCGAAGGCAGCAUACCGGCGGCGCUCUGACGCUGAGGCACGAAAGCGUGGGUAUCGAACAGGAUUAGAUACCCGGGUAGUC